This is a non-coding RNA of Gossypium raimondii (Peruvian cotton), 106 nucleotides long. The record is from Rfam. NCBI's taxonomy places the organism in Eukaryota, Viridiplantae, Streptophyta, Magnoliopsida, Malvales, Malvaceae.
AUCCCAUGAUGAAGACACUUACGAAGUAACUCCUUAAAUCGCUCCCAAACCUCAUACAAAGACUCGUCAUUAAUUGUUGGAAAGUUGUGAUCUUAUUCCUUAACUU